UACGUAGGGGGCGAGCGUUGUCCGGAUUUACUGGGCGUAAAGCGCGUGUAGGCGGCUUCUUAAGUGGGGUGUGAAAGCCCGGGGCUCAACCCCGGAGCGCCGCCCCAGACUGGGAGGCUUGAGGUCGGAAGAGGGGAGUGGAAUUCCAGGUGUAGCGGUGAAAUGCGUAGAGAUCUGGAGGAACACCCGUGGCGAAGGCGGCUCCCUGGUCCGAUUCUGACGCUGAGACGCGAAAGCGCGGGGAGCGAACGGG
This 253-nucleotide ribosomal RNA is filed under the name uncultured bacterium. RNAcentral describes it as "partial 16S ribosomal RNA". It matches the Rfam family "Bacterial small subunit ribosomal RNA", at positions 524 to 776 of the family's 1533-position model. The record is from RNAcentral.